RNAcentral lists this ribosomal RNA (254 nucleotides) under uncultured bacterium. RNAcentral describes it as "partial 16S ribosomal RNA". It matches the Rfam family "Bacterial small subunit ribosomal RNA", at positions 524 to 776 of the family's 1533-position model. The record is from RNAcentral.
UACGGGGGAGCAAGCGUUGUUCGGAUUUACUGGGCGUAAAGGGCGCGUAGGCGGUCGUGACAAGUCACUUGUGAAAUCUCCGGGCUUAACUCGGAACGGUCAAGUGAUACUGUCGGACUAGAGUACAGAAGGGGCAACUGGAAUUCUCGGUGGUAGCGGUGAAAUGCGUAGAUAUCGAGAGGAACACCUGCGGCGAAGGCGGGUCUCUGGGCCGUAACUGACGCUGAGGAGCGAAAGCGUGGGGAGCGAACAGG